RNAcentral lists this ribosomal RNA (491 nucleotides) under uncultured bacterium. Its description in RNAcentral is "partial 16S ribosomal RNA". It matches the Rfam family "Bacterial small subunit ribosomal RNA", at positions 29 to 507 of the family's 1533-position model. The record is from RNAcentral.
AGUGAACGCUGGCGGUAGGCCUAACACAUGCAAGUCGAACGGCAGCACAGUAAGAGCUUGCUCUUACGGGUGGCGAGUGGCGGACGGGUGAGGAAUACAUCGGAAUCUACUUUUUGUGGGGGAUAACGUAGGGAAACUUACGCUAAUACCGCAUACGACCUACGGGUGAAAGCAGGGGAUCUUCGGACCUUGCGCGAUUGAAUGAGCCGAUGUCGGAUUAGCUAGUUGGCGGGGUAACGGCCCACCAAGGCGACGAUCCGUAGCUGGUCUGAGAGGAUGAUCAGCCACACUGGAACUUAGACACGGUCCAGACUCCUACGGGAGGCAGCAGUGGGGAAUAUUGGACAAUGGGCGCAAGCCUGAUCCAGCCAUACCGCGUGGGUGAAGAAGGCCUUCGGGUUGUAAAGCCCUUUUGUUGGGAAAGAAAAGCAGCAGGUUAAUACCCCGCUGUUCUGACGGUACCCAAAGAAUAAGCACCGGCUAACUUCGUG